Molecule: ribosomal RNA, 448 nt
Filed under: Salmonella enterica subsp. enterica
Lineage: Bacteria; Pseudomonadati; Pseudomonadota; Gammaproteobacteria; Enterobacterales; Enterobacteriaceae
Also listed under: 1 other name
Description: bacterial SSU rRNA
Rfam family: Bacterial small subunit ribosomal RNA
Source: RNAcentral
CGCAACCCUUAUCCUUUGUUGCCAGCGAUUAGGUCGGGAACUCAAAGGAGACUGCCAGUGAUAAACUGGAGGAAGGUGGGGAUGACGUCAAGUCAUCAUGGCCCUUACGACCAGGGCUACACACGUGCUACAAUGGCGCAUACAAAGAGAAGCGACCUCGCGAGAGCAAGCGGACCUCAUAAAGUGCGUCGUAGUCCGGAUUGGAGUCUGCAACUCGACUCCAUGAAGUCGGAAUCGCUAGUAAUCGUGGAUCAGAAUGCCACGGUGAAUACGUUCCCGGGCCUUGUACACACCGCCCGUCACACCAUGGGAGUGGGUUGCAAAAGAAGUAGGUAGCUUAACCUUCGGGAGGGCGCUUACCACUUUGUGAUUCAUGACUGGGGUGAAGUCGUAACAAGGUAACCGUAGGGGAACCUGCGGUUGGAUCACCUCCUUACCUUAAAGAAGC